Molecule: small nuclear RNA, 194 nt
Filed under: Sus scrofa (pig)
Lineage: Eukaryota; Metazoa; Chordata; Mammalia; Artiodactyla; Suidae
Description: U2 spliceosomal RNA (ENSSSCG00070008200.1)
Rfam family: U2 spliceosomal RNA (bases 1-114)
About the family: U2 is a small nuclear RNA (snRNA) component of the spliceosome (involved in pre-mRNA splicing). Complementary binding between U2 snRNA (in an area lying towards the 5' end but 3' to hairpin I) and the branchpoint sequence (BPS) of the intron results the bulging out of an unpaired adenosine, on the BPS, which initiates a nucleophilic attack at the intronic 5' splice site, thus starting the first of two transesterification reactions that mediate splicing.
Source: RNAcentral
AUUGCUUCUCAGUCUUUUGGCUAAGAUCAAGUAUAGUUAUCUGUUCUUACUAGUUUAAUAUCUGAUAUGUCCUCUGAGGACAAUAUAUUAAAUGGAUUUGGGGGAGUUCCCACUGUGGCACAGCAGGUUAAACAUCUGGUGCUGUCUCUUGGUGGCUUGGGUCACUGCUGAGACUCGAGUUUGACCCCCAGCCU